UCCAAUUCUAAAAAAUUCACAAUGAACCACAAAAAAAAUUUCCUCACAUUAGCAAGCUGAUGGCAGCAAAAAAAUCCCUAUAAAGAGAUAGAGGGAUAGCUAAUUCCUCAUAUUAUACAUUACCACAAUAGCAUCCAGUGACAAUGGCCAAAUUGGCAGCAUAUGAGGCGACUACAUUAGCUAUGCCAAGAGCCUUCCGGUGCUUUGAAACCAAUCCAGCUCCUCCACCAACGACCCCUGCAAUCAAUUAUCUCAGAUAUCACCUAUAAAUCGAAGAGAAAUCGGAUACUUUUGACAAAUUUUCGAAGUUUAAAUUAACCAAGAGCACAAAUUCGUGAAUCCAAGUAACGGACACAGAUGGGAAAGAAAAAAAAAGAUAAAGGAAAAAGGAGCCAUCCAAGAAGGUAUCCUCGAAUCGGAUCUAUAGAUGAUAUUAGAAGUGAAAACUGAAUCGAAUUUACAGUAACGAAGGAUUCGGGGGAAGGGGGAGAGAGAACCUGCGAGUACAGUGGGGAUGAUGAUGCGCUGCUUCCAGCCGUCCGAUGGUCGACUUCGCGGGAUCGAGCCCUCCGAAGUCAUCUGGUGUUCGCUGCCUCCCACCGGCGGCCCGGCUACGAGAAGGCCGAGGAGAAGCGAGACGGAUCAGAAAACGAAAUUGAUUUUUUAUUAUAUAAAAA
RNAcentral lists this long non-coding RNA (677 nucleotides) under Phoenix dactylifera (date palm). Its description in RNAcentral is "long non-coding RNA (PDAC_LNC009980)". Lineage: Eukaryota; Viridiplantae; Streptophyta; Magnoliopsida; Arecales; Arecaceae. The record is from RNAcentral.